GAAUAUUGGACAAUGGGCGAAAGCCUGAUCCAGCCAUGCCGCGUGUGUGAAGAAGGUCUUCGGAUUGUAAAGCACUUUAAGUUGGGAGGAAGGGUUGUAGAUUAAUACUCUGCAAUUUUGACGUUACCGACAGAAUAAGCACCGGCUAACUUCGUGCCAGCAGCCGCGGUAAUACGAAGGGUGCAAGCGUUAAUCGGAAAUACUGGGCGUAAAGCGCGCGUAGGUGGUUUGUCAAGUUGGAAGUGAAAGCCCCGGGCUCAACCUGGGAACUGCAUUCGAUACUGGUUGGCUAGAGUAUGGGAGAGGAUGGUAGAAUUCCAGGUGUAGCGGUGAAAUGCGUAGAGAUCUGGAGGAAUACCGAUGGCGAAGGCAGCCAUCUGGCCUAAUACUGACACUGAGGUGCGAAAGCAUGGGGAGCAAACA
Molecule: ribosomal RNA, 423 nt
Filed under: uncultured bacterium
Lineage: Bacteria
Description: bacterial SSU rRNA
Rfam family: Bacterial small subunit ribosomal RNA
Source: RNAcentral